GCGAGCUAGCGGGCAGGUUACUGUCUAACAGAGGAAACUCCUCCCUCCAUGCAAGCAUCUGAUCCAGCGAUGGAUAGCCAGAGAUGGCUGGCAACGGCACAGAAAAGAUAUCCGAGCUAGGGUAUGAUGAUGCCAAAGCUGAAGUUCCUAGCAAGGAAUGAAACUGCCGUCCCAGAUGGAGCAAGGCCAAACCGAGCCUAUGAAUAGCUUGCAUGAGGCUCAGGUAGGCUGCAUAGUCGAAUCCUGCCUAAAACAGAAGGAGGGUUACUGCUAGCACGC
RNAcentral lists this RNase P RNA (279 nucleotides) under Nitrososphaerota archaeon. RNAcentral describes it as "Thaumarchaeota archaeon RNase P RNA component". It matches the Rfam family "Archaeal RNase P". From Rfam's summary of the family: Ribonuclease P (RNase P) is a ubiquitous endoribonuclease, found in archaea, bacteria and eukarya as well as chloroplasts and mitochondria. Its best characterised activity is the generation of mature 5'-ends of tRNAs by cleaving the 5'-leader elements of precursor-tRNAs. The record is from RNAcentral. Lineage: Archaea; Thermoproteati; Nitrososphaerota.